GACUGUACAAAGGUAGCAUAAUCAUUUGUCUUUUAAUUGAGGUCUGGAAUGAAUGGUUGGAUGAGGGGUGUUCUUUCUUUAUUUUAAGUGAAUGAAUUUAAUUUCUAUGUCAAAAAGCAUAGAUAAUUUUAUAGGACGAGAAGACCCUAUAGAACUUUAUUAUUGAAAUAUAUGUUUAUUUUAGUACUUUAUGGUUUGAAUAUAUGUUUAGGAUAAUUUUAUUGGGGUGAUUGAAAAAAUUUUAUAACUUUUUUUUAUUAUGGCAUUUAUUUAUGUUUUUUUGAUCUUUUAUUAAGGAUAAGAAGGUUAAGUUACCUUAGGGAUAACAGCGUUAUUUUAUCAUAGAGUUCAUAUCGAUGAUAUAGUUUGCGACCUCGAUGUUGGAUUAAAAUAAGUGGCAGGAGUAGAUUAUUGCUUACUGGGUCUGUUCGACCUAUAAAUUUUUACA
Molecule: ribosomal RNA, 448 nt
Filed under: Deraeocoris ventralis
Lineage: Eukaryota; Metazoa; Arthropoda; Insecta; Hemiptera; Miridae
Description: partial large subunit ribosomal RNA
Rfam family: Bacterial large subunit ribosomal RNA
Source: RNAcentral